AUUUGCAGUUAUAACAAUCACUAUUCUCUAAACAAUCAAUGGUUAAGAAAGUUUGGAUCAGAGUGUUGAUAAUUCUCUGGUUCAAUCAGCAUGUUGGAGUUUCAAUGUUUUGCAUGUAGAUGGAUCUUUUUCAUUUGCAGUGAGGGGGCAUUGUAAACAUAUUGCUACACUGGGCUAAGGUGUGCUUUCGUGUCUUCCUAUUAUCCACGUGGGAAACCACUUCUUUUGAUUUAAAUGUGUUCAAAAGCCAUCAUGGUGGGGAGAUGCUGCUACAGAUGAGCCAGUCAUUGGUGGAGGAGAGCAUGAGCUCCUUGGAGGUGAUAUAUUUCCACACAGGAUGAUUAGCAAAUCCUCUCUGUUAAUAAUUUACGAUCAUUGAGCUACACAGGCUAACAGCUCUUUAUUGCGCCUUUGAUGUCCAGUUUGAAUUCCUAUCUCAUAGCUCUACUGACAGAUAACUAGAUUUUAUUUGUGAAGUCUAGAGACACCUGGGGUAGUCAUUUGGAAAGGGACCCACAGUGGCAGACCUUGUUGUCU
Non-coding RNA from Pelobates cultripes (western spadefoot toad), 537 nucleotides. Lineage: Eukaryota; Metazoa; Chordata; Amphibia; Anura; Pelobatidae. The record is from the annotation of a GenBank genome assembly.